GUACAGGUUGGGUAAGCCCAGUCCGCCUCUGCCUGCAGAGGAGGUCAAUGUAGUGUAGGCAAUUCUCGCUGGUUUAUUGCCCCAUAUGUAUUUGGUAAAGCAUGUGCGUGUUUGCGCGAAGAAUGUACUCGGGAGUGGGAUAGGCAGUGCCUGGAAGAGGUAUAGUAGUUUCGGGAGGACCAUCAUCUUGAUGAUGUUGAUCCGCCCUAUCAAAGAGAAGUGGGGUAGAUCCCAUUUUAGGAGGUCCCGUUUGAUGCCGUCUAGGAGGGG
Pelobates cultripes (western spadefoot toad) is the source of this 270-nucleotide non-coding RNA. NCBI's taxonomy places the organism in Eukaryota, Metazoa, Chordata, Amphibia, Anura, Pelobatidae. The record is from the annotation of a GenBank genome assembly.